CACUCCUGCCAGGAUCCUUAGCCUGGCCUCACAUGGAAUUGAGUCGACCAACCCCUGGCGGUUUCAGGUGGCCCCAUUGAAGAUGCAAUCAUUUCUCGGCCAGUGUACCCCUUGUCAGUGCCUGCGUGCCCCUUGUGUCAAGUCUAAGAAGGAAUUUGAAGAAGCUGAGCAGGAUCCGGAGCUUGACCGGCUUGAGAUCUAUGCCCUCUAAGCCAAAUUGAGGUUAGAUAAUCAUAACAUGGUACUAGAGAGGUGUUUUGUUGACUGUUGUGAUAGCUCUUGAUGGUCUGGUUAGGGUGAUUUGUGAAGAGGCAGCAUGCACAAGUCUGAAUAAUAUCUGCUUGUGUUAUGUUUGCAGCUUCCAGUCUUCUUUCCACGUACAAGUUCUAUGGAUCCAGUUGUAGUAGCAGCCUGUACGUUAUGUUUUUGUAUGUGCUGGCAUUGAUUAUGAGGUGUACAGGUUUAGUUUAGUGUUGGGCUCCAAUUUUCUUUGGUUUUGAUCGAUGCAGCACCAUGUUGAGUUUAACCCUGCAACUUUUCUUAACUAGAUCAUGCUGGUGUUAAGGCUGGGAAUCACAAUAUCGAUGGCCUCAGCAUGUUUUUAGCAGUUGAAUUAAAGAUACUCUGUCUUGUUGCACAAACUGACGCAGAUCAAUGUUCAGAGGUAAUAUGGUUCUGCCCGUAAUUUUCAUUGACUGUCGGCAUGUUCCGUUUUUAUUCAUUACUCUGUAUAUCACGGCGGUAUGACUAUAGUAAGGAUAUAUGGCUGAUGCAUUUUGAACUUCUCUGUUCCUUUGGACAGAACAGAGCUGAUAAAUUAUCUAUUCUUUUUGGCUUUGGUAGUAUGAACAGAAAGCAGGCAGUAAUAAACCGAUAUGUUGUAGGAGUACUAUUUUGUUAAUGAAACGGGGUCAUUAUUAUUACCCAUUUUAUCCAACAAUAGUGUGCCCUAAAAUUACAGAUCGGUUCAUUCCUCUCAUACCUUUUUUUGAGAGAGUCGGAUUUUGGUGAGCUUUGCCGUGGUUUUCUCCUCUGUUUCUUGGUACAUUUUGUUACUAUAGAACAAUUGGUGUGCUUCUUUUCUUUUAGCUGUACUUGUAGAAAUGCGGAAGCUGGUUAUUUCAUUAUAUUCGAUGCCUAAUUUAUUUUCUGUUACGAGGAGUCAAGUUCAGCAUUUUCUUUUAUCUUCUUCCUUCCGCAUAAUUUUUCACUUACCCACUGAGCAGUGUAGGUCUUGGACCUGAAAUUCUUGUACUAAUUUAGCAGAACCAUUAUUCGAGAAACACUCCAGAAAUGGUUUGUCUUGGGUUUGAAUCAUGUUUUCUCUGAACAAACAGGCGUGACACAUGCAUGGAAAGAUCCCCAAGAAAUGUUGCACGUUUGGGUAUAUAUAAUGUCUCUGAAUACUAUUUUAUGAACAAGAAUUUAGUAAGUAUUUCAAGAGCAAUUUGAAAAAUUUAUAUGUAAAAAGCAUAUAUUACUUUUCGAAAGCUUCAGGGGAGAAAUCUCACAUCUAAGUGUAAAAACACACUAUGAAUUUACAAAAUCCAGGAAAAUUCUUUUGGACCUGAGCUGUACAGAAGAGAAAAUGGCAAAUACUUUUGCCUUUUUAUUCUGCAGCUAUCAAAUGAAUACAUUUUCUAUUAAUAUUUUGUAGAUCCAGAGUGUCCUCCCACAUAUACUGCGAACUAUACGCCACGUUUCCAUAAGGUCCGGCAUUGGCUUGAAGUAUCCGAAG
RNAcentral lists this long non-coding RNA (1738 nucleotides) under Triticum aestivum (bread wheat). RNAcentral's name for it is "long non-coding RNA (TAES_LNC000103)". The record is from RNAcentral. Lineage: Eukaryota; Viridiplantae; Streptophyta; Magnoliopsida; Poales; Poaceae.